GUCCUUUUGAUUAUUAUUUAAGGUCUGACCUGCCCACUGAUUUAUUAAAUGGCCGCGGUAUAUUGACCGUGCAAAGGUAGCAUAAUCAUUUGUCUUUUAAUUGGAGGCUUGAAUGAAUGGUUGGACGAAAAAAUUUCUUUCUUUAUUAUAAUUUAAAUAAUUUUAUUUUUUAGUUAAAAAGCUAAAAUGUUAUUGUAGGACGAGAAGACCCUAUAGAACUUUAUGUUUUAAUAAAUAUUUUUAUAUUUUGCUAAUAAUUUAUUAUAUUAAUUAAUAUAUUUUGUUGGGGCGACAAGAAAAUUUAAUUAACUUUUUUAGUACAAUUCACUAAUUAGUGUUUAAAUGAUCCUUUAUUAAGGAAGUUAGAUUAAGUUACCUUAGGGAUAACAGCGUAAUUUUUUUGGAGAGUUCUUAUCGAUAAAGAAGUUUGCGA
Molecule: ribosomal RNA, 433 nt
Filed under: Agraptocorixa eurynome
Lineage: Eukaryota; Metazoa; Arthropoda; Insecta; Hemiptera; Corixidae
Description: partial 16S ribosomal RNA
Rfam family: Archaeal large subunit ribosomal RNA
Source: RNAcentral